Non-coding RNA from Pangasianodon gigas (Mekong giant catfish), 72 nucleotides. Lineage: Eukaryota; Metazoa; Chordata; Actinopteri; Siluriformes; Pangasiidae. The record is from the annotation of a GenBank genome assembly.
AGGCCAAGCACAGUACUACAUCAAUAUCAGGAUUAAGAAGGAUGGCGUUGAGCCCGUCUGCAUCUUUAAUGU